RNAcentral lists this ribosomal RNA (495 nucleotides) under uncultured bacterium. RNAcentral describes it as "partial 16S ribosomal RNA". It matches the Rfam family "Bacterial small subunit ribosomal RNA", at positions 28 to 507 of the family's 1533-position model. The record is from RNAcentral.
GACGAACGCUGGCGGCGUGCCUAAUACAUGCAAGUAGAACGCUGAAGGAGGAGCUUGCUCUUCUGGAUGAGUUGCGAACGGGUGAGUAACGCGUAGGUAACCUGCCUGGUAGCGGGGGAUAACUAUUGGAAACGAUAGCUAAUACCGCAUAAGAGUAGAUGUUGCAUGACAUUUACUUAAAAGGUGCAAUUGCAUCACUACCAGAUGGACCUGCGUUGUAUUAGCUAGUUGGUGGGGUAACGGCUUACCAAGGCGACGAUACAUAGCCGACCGGAGAGGGGGAUCGGCCCCACUGGGACUGAGACACGGCCCAGACUCCUACGGGAGGCAGCAGUAGGGAAUCUUCGGCAAUGGACGGAAGACUGACCGAGCAACGCCGCGUGAGUGAAGAAGGUUUUCGGAUCGGAAAGCUCUGUUGUAAGAGAAGAACGAGUGUGAGAGUGGAAAGUUCACACUGUGACGGUAUCUGACCAGAAAGGGACGGCUAACUACGUG